GUUAUAAAGAAAUUUUUUCAAUUUCAUCGUUGAACUUCUAUUCUGUCUGUAGUUUGGUCAUCAUUGCCAAAAUUGUAAAUAUUUUGGUGAACUACCUCGCAAGUUUCCAUCAUGGUUUACUGCUUUUUUGUAUAAUUUAGGUAGGGUAAAUUGCACCAAUCGUCCCUUAACUUAGUGGUUAUUUCAUUUUAGUCACUCAAUUUCAAUUUGUCAAAAUAAAAUCUCUCAUUUGUUUAAGAAAAAAGUUCUCCUGACCUGUAACAACCGGUUUCUAGGCUAAAAAGAAUGAAAUUAUUAUUUUUUUCCUCAUUUCCUUUUUUU
This 321-nucleotide unclassified non-coding RNA is filed under the name Hevea brasiliensis (rubber tree). The record is from RNAcentral. Lineage: Eukaryota; Viridiplantae; Streptophyta; Magnoliopsida; Malpighiales; Euphorbiaceae.